AUGAUAUGCAGAGGCUACCAAGUGGUAGCUCCAAUCUUGCAAUUGAAGGUCAGCAAUGGGUGCUUCUCCUGGGACGGCUCACCUGAGAUACCAACACUGAAGGAUCUGAAUUUUCAAGAUCAGCAAGGCAUGCGUGUUGCAGUCUAUGGGAUGAUCGGCUCUGGAAAAUCAAGUUUGCUCUUUUACAGUCUGUGGGAUGACCGGCUCUCAGUGAGGUGCCAAAGCUAUUAG
Molecule: ribosomal RNA, 231 nt
Filed under: Triticum aestivum (bread wheat)
Lineage: Eukaryota; Viridiplantae; Streptophyta; Magnoliopsida; Poales; Poaceae
Description: partial small subunit ribosomal RNA
Source: RNAcentral